UGUGCACCUUUUUCAAAAAAGGUGUGAAUUAUUAUACAGUUAAAAGUGAAAGGAUCAUAACAGCUAAAAGGAUUAUUGCAAAGAAUCAAACACUGAAAUUAUUUUUGAUGGCUUAUUAAUAAGCAACCACUUCUGACCUCUUCCAGUGGUGGUAUUAACAUUCUCCUAGACUCUGUCCGAUUUGACUGCCAAUCUGAUAAAAAUGGGAUGAAAAUGAUUAUUCUUAGUUUCGUAGUAGGUGAACAAUAAGUCUGAAUGAAGCAGCUAUAGACAAUUUAAUAUUGCUGUUCUUUCCGAGGACAGAAAAACAUAAGAAAAAAUAAAUAAAAGACAUAAAAUAAAGCAAAUAAUAGCAAUAAUAAGGAUCGCUGUCUGGUGCCCUUUUUAUAUGAUCUUUAUUAAAAAUAAAAAAUUCAGAAAACGUAAACAACUCCACCCUUUGUACCCCGUAUGGCCUCAUUCUGAUUAAUCUCCCACAGCUGUCAAUUAAAUGUGCUGAAAAGGAAAACUGAACCCACCUAAUGAUCUGAAAAAACAAGACAUGCGUAUGAUUGAGAGAACUAGACAUGAGUAGUUGGAACACCACCCCAGUCUUUCAGUUUGAAUUUUCGUCGAAACUCCAUUUCAAAAUGCUGUGCAGAAAUAUUUAUGAUGCAAUAUGCACGGCUGCGGCGGAAUACUUCUAAUCUGUGGAAGCACCUGCAGUGUUUCACCUACCACUAUUCAAGGGGGGCACCCCGCCCUACCAACCAGACCGCCGUGCCCCCAAGAGGAUCACAGCAUGUAGUAAUAGUUUAACAGUUAAUGUCAUUCGUUUUAUUGGAUCACGUCGUGAAGGAUUUCUGUCCCUGUGUUGUCACUACUCUUCUUUCUAUGGCCAAACAUGGCAAAAGCUGGACGAAAACACACUCAUCAUACUCUGUGUCACCAACGGUGACACUGACACACUGAGUUAGGUGCACUCGAACGGAGGUGAACACAUGCUCCUGACAGCGGACAGAAAGCCAUGCCGCUAAAACCUAGAAAGCACGCAAGGAUAUCUGUGGUUUUAAAAAGCGGCAAAUUUAGUUUUGAUGGCAGCACUUCAUCUCCUGCGAGCUAACUCUCCUACUCUUGGUACAUUUGGCGAAGAUAGAAGUAAACAAAAUAGACCAAGUGAUUCAUGCCCUGACUCUGACACACAGCUAAAGUCCAGUCUCCACCAAAUAAAAGUUUUUUACCUAGUUUCAAACCAUUAAAAUGAAUUUAAUGGUUUGAAACUGAAUUCCUUGGCUUUUAAACUGAAUUUGUUUGCUUUGAAAAUUGCUUUGCUAUGUAUUGAAAAUUCCAUUUGAUAACUUUCAUUUUCUAUUCCAAAAUUCAAUUCCAGUUCCAAAAUUCCGUUUUUUGUGUCACACAUCAAAGUCCUUGAAACCACAGAUUAAUUAAACACAGAAUUACUGAUUCACGGAUGUCAUUCACUAUUGCUGUGUUCAAAUUCAGAUGCGACUUUUAUGGCCAUACAGUGAAGUAAAAACGAAUGCUGUCAGAGAGGUGCUGAUUAUAUUGGUUCAGACACUUUUGGUUUGUUUUACAAGCCCUGCUACUGCAACACAUUGAGGGGCAGAGAAGAAAGAGUGCUUGGAGACCAGCUGCUUUACACCAGCUCUCGCCUCCGUAGUGGGAUCCUAUUCACGUGAUAGAAGAUACACUCUGCCUAGGGAUUUUGUCUUUAACUGUCUCUUUCAAGGAUAAUGCCAGUGAGCUAUUGCUGCAGGUAUUUACUCUUAAUUUUCUUAUCCCAUUGAUACUACUACUGGCUCAGUGCUUUCUUGUUUUAUUGUGUUUCUUAGAUGGAACUACUAAUGGUAUUAGUGAUGUCACUAACGGUGUGUGCUGUAUUCUUUCCCAAAUAAACUACUCCUGGACUGGUG
Molecule: long non-coding RNA, 1913 nt
Organism: Girardinichthys multiradiatus
Lineage: Eukaryota; Metazoa; Chordata; Actinopteri; Cyprinodontiformes; Goodeidae
Exons: 2
Source: RefSeq, a predicted model, not a curated record